This 403-nucleotide ribosomal RNA is filed under the name uncultured bacterium. RNAcentral's name for it is "partial 16S ribosomal RNA". It matches the Rfam family "Bacterial small subunit ribosomal RNA", at positions 29 to 526 of the family's 1533-position model. The record is from RNAcentral.
AUUGAACGCUGGCGGCAGGCCUAACACAUGCAAGUCGAGCGAGCGGCGGACGGGUGAGUAAUGGAUGGGGACUGCCCGAUAGAGGGGGAUAACUACUGGAAAAGGUGGCUAAUACCGCAUACUGUCGGAUGACCCAGAUGGGAUUAGCUAGUCGGUAAGGUAAUGGGGUACCUAGGCGACGAUCCCUAGCUGGUCUGAGAGGAAGAUCAGCCACACUGGGACGGAGACACGGCCCAGACUCCUACGGAGGCAGCAGUGGGGAAUAUUGCACAAUGGGCGCAAGCCUGAUGCAGCCAUGCCGCGUGUAUGAAGAAGGCCUUAGGGGUGUAAAGUACUUUCAGUCGGGAGGCGUUACCGACAGAAGAAGCACCGGCUAACUACGUGCCAGCAGCCGCGGUAAUAC